Molecule: long non-coding RNA, 893 nt
Filed under: Homo sapiens (human)
Lineage: Eukaryota; Metazoa; Chordata; Mammalia; Primates; Hominidae
Description: PREDICTED lncRNA (TCONS_00112347)
Source: RNAcentral
AUUCCUAAGUCAAGUCUUUGCUGUUACCAUCAAUAACUGCUAACUCAGAGGAUGCAACCUUAGUAAUUCAUUUCCUUAAUGGCCAGUUUCACAAAGAGGCUGCAGGAAGCUGCUUCCAGCAGUCUGAGUCCUGAGGAGGAGACGAUAACAGUGGGAGAAGCACCUGGUAACAGCGGCACUUCAUCCAGGAAGAAAACAGGAUCUAAAAUAUAAACAACAUCCUUACAACACAAAAUAUGAGCGUCCAUCAUGGACCAACCAAUAACUUCAAUAAAAGUGCUGUAUCCCCUGGCAGAUGAUGAGUAUCUUCAAGAUGGUGCCCAAAGGAGAGAGAGAAUAAACUUGAACAUUCUGACUUUGAAGAACAUGACCAGGCUAGCCCAGGAGAAAGAUGGAGCACAUAUGGAGCAGAGCUGCCCCAGCCAACCUGCUCUUGAGACCCCAGCUUAGAGCAUCCAACUCCCAGCUAACACCCAGAAGCAUGAGUGACUCCAUUUAAGGUCAAUAAAACCAUCUAGCCGAGUCCAGUGAGAUAAGCCAGCCCUUGGUUGAUCACAGAUGCAUGAGCUAAAUAAAUGCUUAUUGUUGUAUGCCACUAUUUGGGUUUUUGUUUGUUGUGCAGCAUUACUGUGGAUGUGGUUAAUGUAUACACCCUCCUAUAUCUUUCUCUUUGGCAGCUACAGAGGGGGUUCCUCUGAGCACAGUUUAAAAAAAUCCAUAUCUGUAAAUUCUCAGUCAUAACAUUAGUUUUUAAACAGAUUUAGUUGUCAAGAAAGACUUUGAAAAGUAGCGGUAUCAAAACAUCAUAUUGUACUCCAUAAAUGUGUAUGAUUAUUGUCAAUUAAAACCAAAAUAAAACUUUCUUAAAAAAUAAUGGGAACAUAAAACACCCG